RNAcentral lists this ribosomal RNA (2351 nucleotides) under Streptococcus pneumoniae. RNAcentral describes it as "bacterial LSU rRNA". It matches the Rfam family "Bacterial large subunit ribosomal RNA", at positions 567 to 2925 of the family's 2925-position model. The record is from RNAcentral. Lineage: Bacteria; Bacillati; Bacillota; Bacilli; Lactobacillales; Streptococcaceae.
CAAGUAGUCAGAGCCCGUUAAUGGGUGAUGGCGUGCCUUUUGUAGAAUGAACCGGCGAGUUACGAUCUGAUGCAAGGUUAAGCAGGAAAUGUGGAGCCGUAGCGAAAGCGAGUCUGAAUAGGGCGUUGAGUAUUUGGUCGUAGACCCGAAACCAGGUGAUCUACCCAUGGUCAGGUUGAAGUUCAGGUAACACUGAAUGGAGGACCGAACCGACUUACGUUGAAAAGUGAGCGGAUGAACUGAGGGUAGCGGAGAAAUUCCAAUCGAACUUGGAGAUAGCUGGUUCUCUCCGAAAUAGCUUUAGGGCUAGCCUCAAGUGAUGAUUAUUGGAGGUAGAGCACUGUUUGGACGAGGGGCCCUUCUCGGGUUACCGAAUUCAGACAAACUCCGAAUGCCAAUCAAUUUAACUUGGGAGUCAGAACAUGGGUGAUAAGGUCCGUGUUCGAAAGGGAAACAGCCCAGACCACCAGCUAAGGUCCCAAAAUAUAUGUUAAGUGGAAAAGGAUGUGGCGUUGCCCAGACAACUAGGAUGUUGGCUUAGAAGCAGCCAUCAUUUAAAGAGUGCGUAAUAGCUCACUAGUCGAGUGACACUGCGCCGAAAAUGUACCGGGGCUAAACAUAUUACCGAAGCUGUGGAUUGUCCGUAGGACAAUGGUAGGAGAGCGUUCUAAGGGCGUCGAAGCAUGAUCGCAAGGACAUGUGGAGCGCUUAGAAGUGAGAAUGCCGGUGUGAGUAGCGAAAGACGGGUGAGAAUCCCGUCCACCGAUUGACUAAGGUUUCCAGAGGAAGGCUCGUCCGCUCUGGGUUAGUCGGGUCCUAAGCUGAGGCCGACAGGCGUAGGCGAUGGAUAACAGGUUGAUAUUCCUGUACCACCUAGUAUCGUUUUAAUCGAUGGGGGGACGCAGUAGGAUAGGCGAAGCGUGCUAUUGGAUUGCACGUCCAAGCAGUAAGACUGAGUGUUAGGCAAAUCCGGCACUCAUAAGGUCAAGCUGUGAUGGGGAGAGGAAAUUGUUUCCUCGAGUCGUUGAUUUCACACUGCCAAGAAAAGCCUCUAGAUAGAUAACAGGUGCCCGUACCGCAAACCGACACAGGUAGUCAAGAUGAGAAUUCUAAGGUGAGCGAGCGAACUCUCGUUAAGGAACUCGGCAAAAUGACCCCGUAACUUCGGGAGAAGGGGUGCUCUUUAGGGUUAACGCCCAGAAGAGCCGCAGUGAAUAGGCCCAAGCGACUGUUUAUCAAAAACACAGGUCUCUGCUAAACCGUAAGGUGAUGUAUAGGGGCUGACGCCUGCCCGGUGCUGGAAGGUUAAGAGGAGUAGUUAGCUUCUGCGAAGCUACGAAUCGAAGCCCCAGUAAACGGCGGCCGUAACUAUAACGGUCCUAAGGUAGCGAAAUUCCUUGUCGGGUAAGUUCCGACCCGCACGAAAGGCGUAACGAUUUGGGCACUGUCUCAACGAGAGACUCGGUGAAAUCAUAGUACCUGUGAAGAUGCAGGUUACCCGCGACAGGACGGAAAGACCCCGUGGAGCUUUACUGUAGCCUGAUAUUGAAAUUCGGCACAGCUUGUACAGGAUAGGUAGGAGCCUUUGAAACGUGAGCGCUAGCUUACGUGGAGGCAUUGGUGGGAUACUACCCUAGCUGUGUUGGCUUUCUAACCCGCACCACUUAUCGUGGUGGGAGACAGUGUCAGGUGGGCAGUUUGACUGGGGCGGUCGCCUCCUAAAAGGUAACGGAGGCGCUCAAAGGUUCCCUCAGAAUGGUUGGAAAUCAUUCAUAGAGUGUAAAGGCAUAAGGGAGCUUGACUGCGAGACUUACAAGUCGAGCAGGGUCGAAAGACGGACUUAGUGAUCCGGUGGUUCCGCAUGGAAGGGCCAUCGCUCAACGGAUAAAAGCUACCCCGGGGAUAACAGGCUUAUCUCCCCCAAGAGUCCACAUCGACGGGGAGGUUUGGCACCUCGAUGUCGGCUCAUCGCAUCCUGGGGCUGUAGUCGGUCCCAAGGGUUGGGCUGUUCGCCCAUUAAAGCGGUACGCGAGCUGGGUUCAGAACGUCGUGAGACAGUUCGGUCCCUAUCCGUCGUGGGCGUAGGAAAUUUGAGAGGAGCUGUCCUUAGUACGAGAGGACCGGGAUGGACAUACCUCUGGUGUACCAGUUGUCGUGCCAACGGCAUAGCUGGGUAGCUAUGUAUGGACGGGAUAAGUGCUGAAAGCAUCUAAGCAUGAAGCCCCCCUCAAGAUGAGAUUUCCCAACUUCGGUUAUAAGAUCCCUCAAAGAUGAUGAGGUUAAUAGGUUCGAGGUGGAAGCGUGGUGACACGUGGAGCUGACGAAUACUAAUCGAUCGAAGACUUAAUCAA